RNAcentral lists this long non-coding RNA (511 nucleotides) under Salmo salar (Atlantic salmon). Its description in RNAcentral is "lncRNA (ENSSSAG00000085038.1)". The record is from RNAcentral. Lineage: Eukaryota; Metazoa; Chordata; Actinopteri; Salmoniformes; Salmonidae.
CUAAACACUACUACCACAACCACACCAGACUAUACACUACUACCACAACCACACCAGGUUAUACACUACUACCACACCAGACUAUACACUACUACCACACCAGACUAUACACUACUACCACACCACACAACUACCACAACCACACCAGACUAUACACUACUACCACAACCACACCAGACUAUACACUACUACCACAACCACACCAGACUAUACACUACUACCACAACCACACCAGACUAUAUAAUACUACCACAACCACACCAGACUAUACACUACUACCACAACCACACCAGACUAUACACUACUACCGCAACCACACCAGACUAUACACUACUACCGCAACCACACCAGACUAUACACUACUACCACAACCACACCAGACUAUAUAAUACUACCACAACCACACCAGACUAUACACUACUACCGCAACCACACCAGACUAUACACUAAUACCGCAACCACACCAGACUAUACACUACUACCGCAACCACACCAGGCUACACAUUACUAC